GACACGAUGGUCGGCAUGGACUUGAUGGGCCGAAGGUUCUUGCUUCUGUGCUAUGACCUCUGGAGCAGGAACUUAAACACACAACCAACUGGCUCAAAAGUGCCCUCACUAGGUUGUCCAUGUCUCAGCAGUGCACAGAAGGGGUCACCAUAAUGAAGAA
Molecule: long non-coding RNA, 160 nt
Organism: Pristis pectinata (smalltooth sawfish)
Lineage: Eukaryota; Metazoa; Chordata; Chondrichthyes; Rhinopristiformes; Pristidae
Exons: 3
Source: RefSeq, a predicted model, not a curated record